RNAcentral lists this ribosomal RNA (1154 nucleotides) under Psychromonas algicola. Its description in RNAcentral is "Psychromonas sp. RZ5 partial 23S ribosomal RNA". It matches the Rfam family "Bacterial large subunit ribosomal RNA", at positions 1 to 1205 of the family's 2925-position model. The record is from RNAcentral. Lineage: Bacteria; Pseudomonadati; Pseudomonadota; Gammaproteobacteria; Alteromonadales; Psychromonadaceae.
GUUGUAUGGUUAAGUGAAUAAGCGUGCACGGUGGAUGCCUAGGCAAUUAGAGGCGAUGAAGGACGUGGUAAUCUGCGAUAAGUCCAGGGGAGUUGAUAACAAGCGUUAUAUCCUGGAAUUUCCGAAUGGGGCAACCCGGCACUUAGUGUCAUCGUUAUGUGAAUACAUAGCAUAGCGAAGCAAACGAGGGGAACUGAAACAUCUAAGUACCCUUAGGAAAAGAAAUCAACCGAGAUUCCGACAGUAGCGGCGAGCGAAAUCGGAACAGCCCUUAAGCUGUUUAAAAGUUAGUGGAAGGCUCUGGAAAGUGCCACGAUACAGGGUGAUAGUCCCGUACACAAAAACUUCUUUACAGUGAAAACGAGUAAGACGGGACACGAGAAAUCCUGUUUGAAUAUGGGGGGACCAUCCUCCAAGGCUAAAUACUCCUAAUUGACCGAUAGUGAACCAGUACCGUGAGGGAAAGGCGAAAAGAACCCCUGUGAGGGGAGUGAAAUAGAACCUGAAACCGUGUACGUACAAGCAGUAGGAGCGGAUUUAUUCCGUGACUGCGUACCUUUUGUAUAAUGGGUCAACGACUUAAUUUCAGUAGCAAGGUUAACCGUUUAGGGGAGCCGUAGGGAAACCGAGUCUUAACUGGGCGAAUAGUUGCUGGGAUUAGACCCGAAACUUGGUGAUCUAGCCAUGAGCAGGUUGAAGGUUGAGUAACAUCAACUGGAGGACCGAACCCACUAAUGUUGAAAAAUUAGGGGAUGACUUGUGGCUGGGGGUGAAAGGCCAAUCAAACCAAGAGAUAGCUGGUUCUCCUCGAAAGCUAUUUAGGUAGCGCCUCAUGUAUCACUGUUGGGGGUAGAGCACUGUUAAGGCUAGGGGGUCAUCCCGACUUACCAACCCUUUGCAAACUCCGAAUACCAACAAGUGCAAUCAUGGGAGACACACGGCGGGUGCUAACGUCCGUCGUGGAAAGGGAAACAACCCAGACCGCCAGCUAAGGUCCCAAAGUAUAUGUUAAGUGGGAAACGAUGUGGGAAGGCUUAGACAGCUAGGAAGUUGGCUUAGAAGCAGCCAUCUUUUAAAGAAAGCGUAAUAGCUCACUAGUCGAGUCGGCCUGCGCGGAAGAUUUAACGGGGCUAAACAUAUCACCGAAGCUGCGG